This 1813-nucleotide long non-coding RNA is filed under the name Homo sapiens (human). RNAcentral's name for it is "HSALNT0322074". Lineage: Eukaryota; Metazoa; Chordata; Mammalia; Primates; Hominidae. The record is from RNAcentral.
AACAUCUGCAGUCAAGUGCUCUGCUGGAAAAUGUGAAAGAUGGAUUCCCUCUGGUAGCAAAUGAGAAAUUCAGUGGAUGUAUUUACAAUGUUCUGUAUAUAUUCAUUGGAACAUAUGGCUCAAUGAAUUAUUCUACAUGAUAAAUCUCCACUGAGGCAGCCUGCUAACCAUUCAGGUCCCAAACCUUCUGAAAGUGGCAAAACCUCCUGCCAAGUGGUGUCAUUCAGAAGAACAGAGGGAGACUCACUUCUUCACUGAGGAGGUUCUUACGGCUGACUUGCUAUACUUGACCGUGAAGAUGAUGCUCUCUACCGAAUUACAUCGGCACAAGGAAUUUACAGAAACUGGAUGUGGCUGUGAUAAAAAACAGAGCAGAGCACAGUUUUGCUGGGACAACAGUGGCCAUCAGUGAUUUGCAAUUCCUGGAUGACACCUGAAUUUUACCAAAAGGUUUCAAGGCAACCCUUUAGAAAGUGACCUUUUGCUUUCCCCAUUUCCUUUGCCCUAAGUGUUAAUUGACUUUGAAAAAGCAGUAUAUUAUCUUUUCAGAAAAAAGAAAAGGAUAGACCUUAUUUGUGAACACCAACAUCCUACAGCAUCAAAGCGUUGUUUAAAUCAUCGCACAGCAGAGCUGAGAACAACUAUCCAGGAGAGUGAGAUUUAAAAAAAAAGAAAAGAAAAGAAGUCUUAGAAUGAAAGAGUGCUGCUGCCAUCUAGUGGCAUGGGUGAUCGUAGGCAGCUAUCAACAACAUCAACAUACAGGAAAAUAAUGUUAUCAUCCAGCUUUGAGGGGAAAUUUUCUAAUUCAUUUUGUGUGCAGAGGUCACCUUUACUCAUUCUUUGUCCUAGCAAAGGCAUGGACUUUGUAAAGACAGCUAUAUGUGGGAUUUCGUGAAAAAAAGUUCUCUCCUAGUAAAAUGCUUCCCUGAGUUACUGACAGGUACAUAAGAGUUAGUGUGAGUACCUGCAUAAUUGUGUAAAGUGGCUUUGCUUUGACACUUACAAGAUCACAUGCAGACUUUCCUUUAAUAUGUAGAUCCAGAACCACUGUACCUAUAUUCUUCUAUCCCUCUACAGCAUUGCUUCCUUACAGCAUAAUUUGUCUUACGGCAUAAAAAACAUUUCUUUUUCUUUUAAAUUUUCGCCAUUCACCUAAAUGAAAUUGUGAAGAUGUGUAACAUACAUUAAAUUAAAAGAGCCUAGCAAUUACGGAAAAUAAGAAUUAUAGUUUUUUAAAAAACAAAUUAGGAGCCAUUAUUAGGCGUAUAGAGCUUAUACAGCAUUGGAGGCUAAAAAAAAAACAAGGGUGUUAAUGUUCCCAUUAAUAUUCAGGCCAGGUACAUCAAGAAGACAGAAGUUAUUAUGGUAUCUGAUCAAUUGCAUGGAACAUACAAUUUCUUAAUUUAGAAUAUAAAUGUAAUUUAUAAAUAAAAUGUAGUCCAUAUGGAACAGAGCUACAUCUUCUAAAAGCAUUGUCCCUCUUGGAAGAGAGUACUUUCGUUCAGUCUGUUCUCAGUAGUCUUGGGGAAAGGAGUUUCUGUGAAUUGUAAUAGCAAUCCUACAUUCAAUAUUAUUAUUUAGUGGUUAACUAAAAUGCAAUUUGUGACUCUGAGCCAAAAAGAGCAACCUUUUUUCCCACUGUGCCCUUGAACUUCUGAUUUUUAAAGACUCCAAUUUUACUUAAGUUUUACUAACACUAUUUCAGCAAAGAACGUUUUGUCUGUCAUGCGAGCCUUAACAGUGUUGUAACUUAAACUAGGAUAUUUCCCUUCAUCAACUAAAGAAGAAAAAUGGUACCAACCAGGCAUUAGUC